GAUGAACGCUGGCGGCGUGCCUAAUACAUGCAAGUCGAGCGAACAGACGAGGAGCUUGCUCCUCUGACGUUAGCGGCGGACGGGUGAGUAACACGUGGAUAACCUACCUAUAAGACUGGGAUAACUUCGGGAAACCGGAGCUAAUACCGGAUAACAUGUUGAACCGCAUGGUUCAACAGUGAAAGACGGUCUUGCUGUCACUUAUAGAUGGAUCCGCGCCGCAUUAGCUAGUUGGUAAGGUAACGGCUUACCAAGGCAACGAUGCGUAGCCGACCUGAGAGGGUGAGCGGCCACACUGGAACUGAGACACGGUCCAGACUCCUACGGGAGGCAGCAGUAGGGAAUCUUCCGCAAAGGGCGAAAGCCUGACGGAGCAACGCCGCGUGAGUGAAGAAGGUCUUCGGAUCGUAAAACUCUGUUAUUAGGGAAGAACAAAUGUGUAAGUAACUAUGCACGUCUUGACGGUACCUAAUCAGAAAGCCACGGCUAACUACGUG
Molecule: ribosomal RNA, 497 nt
Filed under: uncultured bacterium
Lineage: Bacteria
Description: partial 16S ribosomal RNA
Rfam family: Bacterial small subunit ribosomal RNA
Source: RNAcentral